CAGGUUGGUGAUAGAUGGGGGAACCCCAGUGCCAAGCUUUGGGUUUCGAUGUCAACAAGAAAUGUUCCAGAGAAUGGAGGACACAUUCCGAUUCUGCGCUUACUGUAAAGCACUCCCCCAUGGCCUUUCCAGUUGCAAGGUUCUGCGGCACUGUAAGAGGUGCAGAAACGUCUAUUACUGUGAUGCAGAGUGUCAGAGGUCAGACUGGCCAGCACACAGGAAGGUGUGUGGAGAGCUCCGUCUCGUGGCUGUGGACCGUGUCAUGGAAUGGCUUCUGGUCACAGGUAGGGUGUAAUUGUUAGGAAACUGCACUGUAACAGCAGCUGAUCACUUAGCUGGAACUAAAUAAAAGCAUGGUAUUCUAAGGGAAAAUGCAGAAACCGUGAUAAGAAGUGGGGAUACUUGUAGUUACAGGUUGGCAGAAUAAAUAUGGAGGAAUUAUUGAGGAGGGAAUUUGAAACCCAAGGAAGGAUUUGAUGUUUCUUUUUAAAGUAUAGGUCCGGAGGCUAGAAGAGGGCAUGGGAGCUCCUGGAACUUGAAUUACAGGAGAUUGUGAGUUCCCCAAUUUGGCUGCUGUUAACCCAACAGCAGUUUGCCCUCUUCUCUCCAGCCCUGUUUAGUAACUCUUUCUGCCC
Molecule: long non-coding RNA, 635 nt
Filed under: Rattus norvegicus (Norway rat)
Lineage: Eukaryota; Metazoa; Chordata; Mammalia; Rodentia; Muridae
Description: long non-coding RNA NONRATT010248
Source: RNAcentral